AAUGAACGCUGGCGGCAUGCCUAACACAUGCAAGUCGAACGGCAGCACAGUAAGCUCUUGCUCUUGCGGUUGGCGGGUGGCGGGCGGGUAACGCAUGCAUCGGCAUCUUCUUUUUCUUGGGUGAUAACGUAGGACAACUUCCACUACUACCGCAUAUUUCGUACCGUUGAGUGCACGGGAUCUUCUCGCCUUUCGCGAUUGUAUUAGCCGAUGUCGCAUUAGCUAGUUGGCUGGGUAAGGGCCCACCAAGGCAACGAUCCGUAGCUGAUCUGAGAGGAUGAUAAGCCACACUGGAACUGAGACACGGUCCAGACUCCUACGGGAGGCAGCAGUGGGGAAUAUUGGGCAACGGGCGAAAGCCUGACACAGCAAAACCGCGUGGGUGAAGAAGGCCUUCGGGUGGUAAAGCCCUGUUGUUGGGAAAGAAAAGAAGAAGGUUAAUCCGCGGCGGUCAUGACGGUACCGAAAGAAUAAGCACCGGCUAACUACGUG
This 492-nucleotide ribosomal RNA is filed under the name uncultured bacterium. RNAcentral describes it as "partial 16S ribosomal RNA". It matches the Rfam family "Bacterial small subunit ribosomal RNA", at positions 29 to 507 of the family's 1533-position model. The record is from RNAcentral.